This 67-nucleotide transfer RNA is filed under the name Marmota monax (woodchuck). RNAcentral describes it as "tRNA.Val". Lineage: Eukaryota; Metazoa; Chordata; Mammalia; Rodentia; Sciuridae. The record is from RNAcentral.
GGUUGUGGUUCAGUGGUAGAAUACUUGCCUCACGUGAGUGAGGCACUGGGUUCAAUUCUCAGAACCG